AUGGGGAAAAGGGCCAACUGGAUCAUACUAGAUAUAAGAUGCCAAACAGAUACAAGUGCAAAUGAGAAUUCACAAUGAAAUACAUUUAAUUUCUAGGUGCAGCAGAGCCUGUGAGUUGAAGAUGAAGAUCAUUGUGAUAAAUGUUUUCCAAAAACCUGUCACAGAGGAUGGCUGUGAAAACACUAGGAGGACCGCUGUGCAUGUAACAAGCAGAUGAGUACAUACAGAUGAAUGUUCAAGUCCUUAGCAUUGGUGCUUAAAAACUCUUCAUUACCUCAAAGGUGUGGCACACAACAUUUUCGAAGGAAAAAUGAAGAGUUGUUCAAGAAGACGUGCAUUAAAGCAAGUGAUAAAAAUUAAAAUUGUAUUUUAACGUUCAUCUCACAAUAAAUUAUGGACAAAAAUACAUCUUCAAAUUAUUUUAAUUGCUGGGCAAUAAAGUCUGUUCUCUUUAAAAUA
Non-coding RNA from Odocoileus virginianus texanus, 459 nucleotides. The record is from RefSeq and is a predicted model, not a curated record. NCBI's taxonomy places the organism in Eukaryota, Metazoa, Chordata, Mammalia, Artiodactyla, Cervidae.